Molecule: ribosomal RNA, 330 nt
Filed under: Allapsidae sp.
Lineage: Eukaryota; Cercozoa; Glissomonadida; Viridiraptoridae
Description: SSU rRNA
Rfam family: Eukaryotic small subunit ribosomal RNA (bases 108-330)
Source: RNAcentral
GAUUUCUGACAUUAAUGCGCUUGGCCCGCCACGGUUACGUGUGUGAGUGCCGAGUCGUGUUUGUCAUCCUUCUAGCGCAUGGCAGUUUGCUCUUCACUGAGUAGAUUGUCAUUCUCGUGCUAGAUCUUUUACUUUGAAAAAAUUAGAGUGUUUAAAGCAGGCGUUUGCUAUGAAUACAUUAGCAUGGAAUAAUAAUUUAGGACUUUGGUUCUAUUUUGUUGGUUUCUAGAACUGAAGUAAUGAUUGAUAGGGAUGGUUGGGGGUGCUCGUAUUCAGUGGCCAGAGGUGAAAUUCUUGGAUUCACUGAAGACGAACUUAUGCGAAAGCAUU